GAUAUUUUAAAUAGUAAAAAUAUUUCACAUUUAGUUAAAAUUGACUAAAAUAGCUAAAACUAAGUAAACUAAAACGUAAUAAAAAUAUAAUAAAAUAAUAAUCUAAAAUAAAAACUAUAUAGACAUAAAAAAAACUAAUAAAAAUUACAAAACUAAACUAAUUAUAAUUAUAACGUCAUGUAUUUUAUAAUUAUAUUUUUUAUAAUUAUAAAAUACAUUUUUAAAUGACCAAAAUUACAAGAAUUACAAACUUUAAUAACAUUACUAGUACAUUUUUGAAAAGCAUUUAGCAUUUUAUGAGGUUUAUUGGCAUGACAAGGUGCAGUGCAUUCCUGAAGCACAAGAACAACGAAUGAAAAUCAUACAUAAAUAAUAAAAUAAUAAUAAAUAUAAAAUAAUGUCAUAGAAAAAUGAAUAAAAAAUGACAAAACCACAAAAAAAUGAAAUUACUAAAAAAGUUUCAAAUGUACAAAAGAAAAACUGUAAUCUUCACAAUGUGGAAUGUGUUUCUUUGUGUCAGAUAUAUAUUUCAUCACGGUUCAUCUAACCAUGAUGUACCACUGAGCUGCAUCGUCAGGAGGAGAUCCAGCUGCGGGAGCGUGUGCAGCUGCAGUGCAAACAGGCCGAGAGGACGGUGGAGGAUCUGCGCAUGGAGCUGCAGACGCUGGGACAGUCCAGAGACGAGCUCUCCAAACAGCUCAAGCUGGCUCAGGAGAAGGUCAUCGAUCUGGAGGGAGAUCUGGAGGAGCUGCAGGAGAACGAGCAGCGAUGGGCGUCCAAACACAAGAGAGCUGUGGAUCAGUCGGAGCAGCUGCAGAUGAAGCUCAUCCAGGAGAAAGAUCUCAACGAUCAGCUGGAGUGUGAGAAGGCCAUCCUGGAGAGACAGCUGCGGGAUCUGCGCACUGAGAUGGAGGAGCUCCAGAAUAACAGAGUGGAGGUGGAUUCGAUCACCAGAGCCGAGAUUAAAGCCAAAGAACUGGAGAACGCACUAAGAGCAGAGGAGAGGAAUAAAGUGGUGAUGAGCAACACCAUCAGCAAACUGGAGAAGAAGAUCCACGAGCUGUCGGAGCAGAUGGAGGAGGAGCACAAGAUCUCCACCGAACAGAGAGAGCUGGUGCGACAAACACACAUACACAUCCACACCAGCAGAGGGAGAGACACACACACACACACACACACACAGGUGCACAUCCACACCAGCAGAGGGAGAGACACACACAGUCACACAGGCACACAUCCACACCAGCAGAGGGAGAGACACACACAGUCACACACGCACACACACACACACACACACACACACACACACACACAGGUACACAUCCACACCAGUAGAGGGAGACGCACACAAAUCAUAUCAUACCACACAUCAUACUCACAGAGAGUGAAAAGCUGAACAAUAAUUAGGAACCUCAUUUACUCUCAUUCAGUUAGUGCACAUAGAAACAGCUCAUUCUGAAAUAUAGCUCAUUUAAAGCUGGAAAUUAAUUUAAAUUAAUAUUUUCAAUCCCAUAUUUCAGACUUUUAUACUCACAUAAAUUUUUCUAUAUUUUUUAGCAGUGUUUACCGAGGCAAGUGCUGUUCUCAUAGUUAGCAUUGAUCAUUUGAACAAACUCCCAGAACUUAGUUUUGAACUUCAGUGUGAAGCUAUGGAAGCUUGUUUCCACCUCAGAAUAAAACUAUUAAAGUUAACUGUGACUUUUUAGCUCAUAAUUCUGACUUUUUUGAGGUAGUAAUAUAUAUUUGCACAAAUGUUUUUUUAUAAAUAUAACAAUAAAUAAAUUAAAUUUCUUAAAUUAUAAAUACCUAUAUAUUCAUAUAAAU
This 1824-nucleotide long non-coding RNA is filed under the name Sinocyclocheilus anshuiensis. RNAcentral describes it as "lncRNA (ENSSANG00000037771.1)". The record is from RNAcentral. Lineage: Eukaryota; Metazoa; Chordata; Actinopteri; Cypriniformes; Cyprinidae.